GACGAACGCUGGCGGCGCGCCUAACACAUGCAAGUCGAACGAGCGAGAGAGAGCUUGCUUUCUCGAGCGAGUGGCGAACGGGUGAGUAACGCGUGAGGAACCUGCCUCAAAGAGGGGGACAACAGUUGGAAACGACUGCUAAUACCCCAUAAGACCACAGCACCGCAUGGUGCAGGGGUAAAAACUCCGGUGGUAUGAGAUGGACCCGCGUCUGAUUAGGUAGUUGGUGGGGUAACGGCCUACCAAGCCGACGAUCAGUAGCCGACCUGAGAGGGUGACCGGCCACAUUGGGACUGAGACACGGCCCAA
Molecule: ribosomal RNA, 309 nt
Filed under: uncultured bacterium
Lineage: Bacteria
Description: bacterial SSU rRNA
Rfam family: Bacterial small subunit ribosomal RNA
Source: RNAcentral